CUCCCUUCCAUGCAGUCGAACGGCAGCACGGACUUCGGUCUGGUGGCGAGUGGCGAACGGGUGAGUAAUACAUCGGAACGUACCCUGUUGUGGGGGAUAACUAGUCGAAAGAUUAGCUAAUACCGCAUACGACCUGAGGGUGAAAGUGGGGGACCGUAAGGCCUCACGCAGCAGGAGCGGCCGAUGUCUGAUUAGCUAGUUGGUGGGGUAAAGGCCCACCAAGGCGACGAUCAGUAGCUGGUCUGAGAGGACGAUCAGCCACACUGGGACUGAGACACGGCCCAGACUCCUACGGGAGGCAGCAGUGGGGAAUUUUGGACAAUGGGGGCAACCCUGAUCCAGCAAUGCCGCGUGUGUGAAGAAGGCCUUCGGGUUGUAAAGCACUUUUGUCCGGAAAGAAAUCGCUUCGGUUAAUACCUGGGGUGGAUGACGGUACCGGAAGAAUAAGCACCGGCUAACUACGUGCCAGCAGCCGCGGUAAUACGUAGGGUGCGAGCGUUAAUCGGAAUUACUGGGCGUAAAGCGUGCGCAGGCGGUUUUGUAAAACAGGCGUGAAAUCCCCGAGCUCAACUUGGGAAUUGCGCUUGUGACUGCAAGGCUAGAGUAUCUCAAAGGGGGGUAAAAUCCCCCUUUAGCAUUGAAUUCCUUAAAAUUUGGAGGAAUACCCAUGGCGAAGGCACCCCCCUGGAACUUCCUGACCCUCUUGCCCAAAACCUGGGGACCAAAC
Molecule: ribosomal RNA, 727 nt
Filed under: uncultured bacterium
Lineage: Bacteria
Description: bacterial SSU rRNA
Rfam family: Bacterial small subunit ribosomal RNA
Source: RNAcentral